GCUCGGACCUCCACCUCCCUCUCCCUCUCCGCUCCACACCAGAGCCUUGGCGGCCCGUUGCGAGCUACAGGUUCGAGACGGCAAGUCCGCCGCGUGUCCGUCUGAGUGGGACAAGUCGUCCUCGUUCUCGUCCCCGCUUGCCGCAGAAACUGACAGCCGGCUCUCUUCCCUCCCCCGCCGCAGAAUCGGAAUUUCUCCUCUCCCGCCGCCACCCCACCCCACCCCACCUCCGCCGUGACGCUUCCUCCUGGAUCCACCUAUUCGCGGCUUCGAUUCCCUUCAUUUGGACUCCGUCAGUCGAUCGAGAUACCUCCCUUCUCUUCUUGUUUUCCUAAUUUACUCUUUUCCUCUUCUUGCUUGUAUUAUUGCUCGUGCUCCUCUCAAUCCCCGCGUUAGGCCUAGCUGGGGCUACCGGAUCCAUCGGCCGAGCAUGGAGCCUUCAGCACAGGGAGAGCCCUCUACUUCUGCAUCGGUAUGUAGUACGCGUGUUGAUUUCUACUUCUGCUGUCACUACUUACCAUCUUCCUAUGCCUUGAAGAAUUUGAUGUUCAGAUAUUACCUGGGUCGGUUAGGAAUCAAGAAAAUCUUUUGUUGUCAUGAUAGGUAUGGUAUGAGGCAGCAUAGUUCUUGCCUAACUGCCUCCCAUACUGAACCUGAACAUUCAACUGCAUAUCCUUAUCCUACAUCAGUACCCCUCUUUGUUAUUUUUUUACAUAUUCAAAGUUCAGGUCUGAAGUAAGGCUUUGGUGACAUCAAAUUUACCACAUUGUAUCUGUAAAAAUGUAAGCAUGCCCCUCAGUCCGUCGCUAGCUCAAGUGUUGAAUUGAUCAACUUCAUGUACUAUAGAAUUUCUGCAACAUUAAACUUGGUUAUCACUUCAUUUAUCGCUUUUGGCACACGCCAUGCUUGGUUACUUCAAGAGAUUUUACCUACAUAUCGCCUUAGUAAUGGUGAACUCUCUUGAAGUAACAGAGAACAACAUACCAAGUGAAAUUACUAAGGCGAUAUGGUGAACUCUCUUCUGCUACUUCCUUACUAGCAUGCAGCUAUUUUUUCUUUGUAUACAUGUUUAUAGCAGAUAGUGAACACUAGCACUCCCACUUCGUUCUAUUACCACUUUGAUUCGUUACCAUUACAUUUAUUGCUCAAACUUGGUUAAUUUCCUUCUUUUGAGGUUGAGUUUAAUUUGCUAAAUGCCUACAACACAUGCAUUGUAUGUACUCCGAAAAUGUUGCAGAAUACUUAACCAGUUUUACGUUACUUGUAUUACUUCUAGCUUCACCCCUUGUUUGAAUGAUUGAAUUGUAUCACCUGCAGGCUAUGUGGCCAUGGGGUGGGAGUUGUAUCCAAGGGCAGUGCCGAGCUCCAAGCGUGAUUGAAUUGUAUCUCCGGCUGCUGAUUUCCUGCUGCUAGGGAGGCGUUGCUACUGCUGUUGGUCUUGGGGCGGCGAGGUGCCAGGCAAAGGAGGCGAGGAGCUGGGGGUGCGAGAUACUGGGACGAUCGUCAACGAGAUCAUGGGAUGAUCUACCGCGGUGCUUGCCGGAGGAGAUCAGGGCGGUGCUGACUGGGGGCGAAGGAGCUGCUGGGGUCAGUGAUGGAUCUGUGGGUUGAGGAGGUGCUGGGACGGCCAUGGAUCUGUGGGCGGAGGAGCUGUUGGGGACAUAUCGAUUUUUUGUUUGUAAAAUGAACAUACAGAAUGGCUGACGUGUCUAUUUGUGUUUCCAUGUGUUCGAAUGAAAUCUAAAGUACUAUUCAUACGUUUGA
Lolium perenne is the source of this 1764-nucleotide long non-coding RNA. RefSeq lists it as uncharacterized. Lineage: Eukaryota; Viridiplantae; Streptophyta; Magnoliopsida; Poales; Poaceae. The record is from RefSeq and is a predicted model, not a curated record.